CGGGGGAUGCCUUGGCGUCAAGAGCCGAUGAAGGACGUGUAGCACUGCGAUAAGCAACGGGGAAUCGUGCUAGGGUAAUGAUCCGUUGAUUUCCGAAUGGGGAAACCCAGCCUGGGGAAUGCCAGGCUAGCCACUGAUGAACACAUAGUCAGUGAGCGGGGAACGCAGGGAACUGAAACAUCUAAGUACCUGCUGGAAAAGAGAUUAUUCCGUCAGUAGUGGCGAGCGAAAAGCGGAACAGCCCAAAACCAGUUUGGCUUCGGUCAACCUGGGGUUGUAGGACCAACAGAACGAAUGAAUUUGCUAGUGGAACGAUACUGGAAAGAUCGACCACAGGGGGUGAAAGUCCCGUACACGAAAGCGAAAACAUUCCGGUUGGUAUCCUGAGUACUACGGAGCACGCUAACUCUGUGGGAAACUGGGAGGCCCACCUUCCAAGGCUAAAUACUCUUGACGACCGAUAGUGAACAAGUACCGUGAGGGAAAGGUGAAAAGCACCCCUGUUAGGGGAGUGAAAUAGAACCUGAAACCGUGCGCUUAC
RNAcentral lists this ribosomal RNA (541 nucleotides) under uncultured bacterium. RNAcentral describes it as "bacterial LSU rRNA". It matches the Rfam family "Bacterial large subunit ribosomal RNA", at positions 22 to 567 of the family's 2925-position model. The record is from RNAcentral.